GAAAAAAGCCCAGCGACAGCAGAAGCGGCGUUUGGAAGCCAGAUUUCAGGAAGGGAAGCUGGGAGGAAGCCAAGGACAGCAGCGCUGCGCCCUGCCCUGGCAUCGCCCCGCCGGACCCCGCGCGGGAGGACAGAGCACGAGGGGCUCCACUCGGCGGCYGCUGAACCCCAACCUGGCCGAAGUCGAGCACGCGCGCGUAAGCGCCUUCCCGGGUUUCCAGCUGCUGAGCACGCAGGGACGUUAGGAGCGGAGCUGAAAAUACGCCCGUAAUACAGGAGAGAAAAGCAGAAACAAGCAGAGGCAUCAUCGGUCAGAGACCCCCGUACCGACAAGA
RNAcentral lists this long non-coding RNA (334 nucleotides) under Apteryx rowi (Okarito brown kiwi). RNAcentral's name for it is "lncRNA (ENSARWG00000007249.1)". The record is from RNAcentral. Lineage: Eukaryota; Metazoa; Chordata; Aves; Apterygiformes; Apterygidae.